AAGAAAGAAGUUUAUAACUUAAGGAAUUAUAACAAAGAAGUAACACAUAAUAAGGUUGCCUUAUUUAGUGUGUAUCAAUCGAGUUUCUGACCUAUCAGCUUUUGAUGUUAGGGUAUUGGCCUAACAUGGCUAUGACGGGUAACGGGGAAUUAGAGUUCGAUUCCGGAGAGGGAGCCUGAGAAAUAGCUACCACAUCUAAGGAAGGCAGCAGGCGCGUAAAUUACCCAAUUCUAAAGAAGAGAGGUAGUGACAAGAAAUAACAAUACAAGGCCAUUUCAUGGUUUUGUAAUUGGAAUGAUGGGAAUUUAAAACCUUCCCAAAAUUCAAUUGGAGGGCAAGUCUGGUGCCAGCAGCCGCGGUAAUUCCAGCUCCAAUAGCGUAUAUUAAAAUUGUUGCAGUUAAAACGCUCGUAGUUGAAUUUCAAAGAAUCAAUAUUUUAAGUAAUAAUUUUGCUAUAAGAUGCUUAGACAAUACAACGUAUCUGUUCUUUGCAUUCCUUAUGCAAAAUGUGUUCUUAUUAUAAAAAGGAUUCUUUUUAAAAUCUCUUUUGCUAUUUUUUAGUAUUGGAGAUUUUGUUACUUUGAGUAAAUUAGAGUGUUCAAAGCAAACAGUUAAAGCAUUUUU
RNAcentral lists this ribosomal RNA (624 nucleotides) under Plasmodium ovale curtisi. RNAcentral describes it as "SSU rRNA". It matches the Rfam family "Eukaryotic small subunit ribosomal RNA", at positions 224 to 800 of the family's 1831-position model. The record is from RNAcentral. Lineage: Eukaryota; Apicomplexa; Aconoidasida; Haemosporida; Plasmodiidae.